Long non-coding RNA from Heterocephalus glaber (naked mole-rat), 480 nucleotides. The record is from Ensembl. NCBI's taxonomy places the organism in Eukaryota, Metazoa, Chordata, Mammalia, Rodentia, Bathyergidae.
CUGAGUAUCAUGACACUUAAAGUAUGGCAUCCCCCACAUCUGAGGAGGGUCGGGCCCUGGGAGAAGGAGGUGGCCUUCUGUUCACCAGCUGCAACGGGUCCAUAUGUGGAGCAGGGAUAAUCAAAUAAAUGUGCUAUGUUGGACACUGUGACGGGAAGAAGAUGGAAGAGAGAGGAUGUGAGCAUGUAUAUUUGAAGACGAGGGAAAGAGUGGCUGUGGCAGAAAAAUCAACUCGUACACUGAGUGAGUCAUGUGCAGUUUUCCGGAGUACACAGACUCUUCACCUAUGGUUGGAUUCCCAGGGGACCAUGGUUCCUAAGACUCCCACAGGCCCCCGACGAACUCGGAUGGAUCUUCGCCCUGGCCAGGAGCCCAGCCUAAGAGCCAGCCCGGACAGCGCUGCCCCUCCCCUCCAAGCGACAGCAUUGUGAAGACUGGAGAGCAAAACGGGUCGCCCACAAGGAAACUCCAGAAAGCGGG